Parus major (Great Tit) is the source of this 733-nucleotide long non-coding RNA. RefSeq lists it as uncharacterized. The record is from RefSeq and is a predicted model, not a curated record. NCBI's taxonomy places the organism in Eukaryota, Metazoa, Chordata, Aves, Passeriformes, Paridae. The transcript has 3 exons.
ACUGUUGACUAAAAUGUGGAUCACAGAAAACAUGGAUUUUCUAAAAGGAAUGGGAAGGAUCAUUCUGCUGCUCCCCUGUGAAUGUAUUUUGAGCAAAAAAAAAGCCUGGAGAAAAUGUGUUUGAAUUCUGCAGCCUUGCAUGGUGAGGAGAUGAAUACCAUGAAAGAAUAGAGCAGAAACCAGUGAACCUGAGGGACUUCAAUGAAACUGAACAUGGGCACCAGAUCUGUGAAGAUGGCUGGAAAUGGUCCGUGGAGAAUUCCAAGGCAUGCAGCUUUGAACUGGAUAUGAAAUAAAUGGGAAACUAAGCGCCAGUGGCUGCCAGUGGGGCUGUGAUAAGGCAAUGUGCAAACACUUCCUCUGAUAGCCCUGGAAUUAGCUGCAAUUAAGUGUGAUUCUGAUGAGGAACACAUGGAAUUUCCAGUUCAUCACCGUGAGCAGCGCUUGUGCAAAAUUCCUGUAGCAAACUGUGAAUCUCUGCAGGCGCUUCCUGAGGUUGGUUGUGUGCACAAAGCCUGUGGAAAUUCCAGAUUUCCAAAAACUGCAGGAAAUUUUCACUGGAGUGAAAUAUUUCCACUUCCACUGGGGUGCAAUUUCACUGGAGUGAAAUAUUUUCCAAAUUGGAGUUUAAUGAGAAACUGGAAAUGAAGGAGGAAUCAAAACCUCCGUGAGAAACAAAAAGAAACGUGGAGGGCUGCAGACUGAAGUGACACUUGGAGUGUCCCAAGCCAUC